RNAcentral lists this small nucleolar RNA (70 nucleotides) under Cyclopterus lumpus (lumpfish). Its description in RNAcentral is "Small nucleolar RNA R38 (ENSCLMG00005005657.1)". It matches the Rfam family "Small nucleolar RNA R38". From Rfam's summary of the family: snoR38 is a C/D box small nucleolar RNA conserved across yeast, human, Arabidopsis and rice. It is encoded in the intron of elongation factor-1 gamma in both pombe and cerevisiae. snoR38 guides the methylation of 2'-O-ribose sites in 28S rRNA. Lineage: Eukaryota; Metazoa; Chordata; Actinopteri; Perciformes; Cyclopteridae. The record is from Rfam by way of RNAcentral.
UCAAGCCAGUGAUGAUAAAGUUAUCCCUGUCUGAAUUUUAAGUGAUGAGUCAUGGUAACCUGAGGCUUGA